GUCCCUGUGCAAGGCAUGCACAGGGUUAGGACUCUGAUGAAAUCGAAUUUUCUUUCUCCCCAGGAAAACGAUGUCUGUAUGGGUCUCCCCGGUUUUGCCCACAACUGCAGGGUCCUAUGGAUGCCCAGUGGAGCCCACGGUGAGAACCUGAGGGUGAGGCUGAAGAGACCAUGCUCCCCUGUGCUCUGUCCUUCUCCUGGUGCUGGCUUCAUCCUGAGGCUUGAGCUGUGGUGGCUUCAGGAUUCAUAGGUUCUCACAACAACCCCGGUAAGAGAGACUCUUGAGAAGGAGGAGCAGUUUCCCCGAAGCAUCCACCAAACCUACCCUUGUAUCUCAUGGGCCCGAAUUGGGACAUAUAUCUGUUGUGCUCUCUGAAGACACUCCCAGUAAAUGGGACUUCUAAAUUUUGAUAUAUAAAACAAAAGAAGAAAAUAUGACCUCUACUUCUAAUACUGUUGGAGGCUAUAACCUAGUUAUACAGUGGAAAUUGAGGUCCAUAGAGAUUAAGUUAUAUGCCUAAAUUAUAUUGCAGAGUGGAAUUUAAACUCAGGUUGUUGACUGCAAAGUCUCUAAUUUUUCUUUUUCCCAGUUUACCUCUUUUUAAAAUAUGAGCAUAUCUGUAAUGUUUUUGUAAGAAUGACCAUGUUCAAACCCAUGUUGUUUAAAGGUAAAGAAAAAAAGGAUGACCAUGUCUAUCAAAAAAUUCAAUGUAGAAAAGUUCAGAGAAGUAAGUAAAAGUAAACUGAGAUCUCCUAUCCGAUGAUAAACCACAAAUACAUUGGUAAACAUCCUUCCAAAUGUAACACUGCAUAAAAUCACAUGUAAGUGUACAACUUAAUAAAAAUGGAGUCAUAUUCUA
This 859-nucleotide long non-coding RNA is filed under the name Homo sapiens (human). RNAcentral's name for it is "HSALNT0358616". Lineage: Eukaryota; Metazoa; Chordata; Mammalia; Primates; Hominidae. The record is from RNAcentral.